UUCUUUCUCUCGGAUAACACACACACACACGCACACACCCUCCAUCUACAGAGAUCAAAGAUCUCUCUUCUCCCAAACACACACACACACACAGAGAUCGGAGAUCUCUCUUCUCCAUUCUCCGAUCUCUCUUCUCCCUUCUCCGAUCUCUCUUCUCCCAAACACCCACAUACAAAGAGAGAUCUCCGAUCUCUCUUCUCCCAAACACACACACACACACAGAGAUCUCUCGAUCUCUCUUCUCCCUUCGCCGUUGAUCGUGGCUCUGGCGAAGUCGGAGUUGGCUCAGUCGUCUUUGGCGGUGCGCCGUUGAGCAAGGAUCACGUUCAGUCAUCUGGUUCGUCUUCGUCUUCGUCAGGUUUUUGGGACGAAAUCGGCCCGGGAAUAGGCACACCGUCUCCGGCGUUCUUCUUCGACGUCGCCUCGGAGUCCGAUUGCACCAAACUCAAAAAAAUUUCGCCGAUAUUUCCAAAAUAUCGCGAUAAUAUUGCGAUAUUUGGCCGAAAACCAUUCGGAUACCACUUAGAAUAUCCAUCACCCGAAAAACCGAUAAUAUCGGCGAUAUUUCGCCGAUAUUAUCGGCAUUUUCUUCCAUGCUCCUAACCUACACCACAACUGGGCUCGGCUAGGGAUGAGCAAAUAACUAUUGGUUAUGGGUAACCAGUACCCACCUAUUUAAGUUAAAUGGUUACGGUAUGGGUGACCAUUUAGAUAAAUAAACGGUUAUGGGUAUAACUGUUUACCCGCGAAGUUUAAAUGGGCGGUUAUGGGUUUAACCCCGGUUAUAAACGAGUAACCGUUUAUCUAUUUAUUUUAUAUAUGUAAAAUUAACACAAACCAUGCUCUUUAGGGAUGGAAAAAAAUUACCAAAAAUUCCAAGCUUAACCGAAAAAAUCCUGAAACCAAACCGAAAAUUUCAAUAGAGAGAAAAUCAGCCAGCAUCUUAUUUUUCACAUUUCAUACCAUUGACGCGUCUAGA
Long non-coding RNA from Malus domestica (apple), 979 nucleotides. RefSeq lists it as uncharacterized. The record is from RefSeq and is a predicted model, not a curated record. NCBI's taxonomy places the organism in Eukaryota, Viridiplantae, Streptophyta, Magnoliopsida, Rosales, Rosaceae.